This 188-nucleotide non-coding RNA is filed under the name Aplanochytrium stocchinoi. The record is from RNAcentral. Lineage: Eukaryota; Bigyra; Thraustochytrida; Thraustochytriidae.
UUUCCUUUUCCUUUUCCUUUUCCUUUUCCUUUUUCCUUCAACGUUCAGAUCGAAAACCCUUGGGUAGAAGUACGGUAGUUGUAGCUGUUGUUGCAUAGUACUUUAACAUCAGCUUUGUCAUGGUUGCGCAGUUGUCUUCUAUGCGGUUUCAUUUCACUUUUGCGAUGUAAAUAGAAGAAGAGGAAGAA